CUCAUACCAAAGCACAAAGGACUAUCUCUGUAAUAUGAAAGAGAAAAUUUCUAAGCCUGAAAGGCCAGUUAGGUUUUAUACACGCGGGAAUUAGUGAAUUUUUGCCUUUUUAUCAAGAACUAUGGGAAUUUCGCAUUUAUCAAUAAUUUUUUUCUCUUUAUUCUAUUCAUUUUCAACAAAUGUCGACGGUUUGUAAGCGUUCUCAUCUGUUAUAUUCUUUACUCUUUUUCUUAUAAUUCUUUUUACUUCUUUAAAAACAUCGAUAGCUUAAUCCCUCUCAUUAAACUUUAGGAUCCUCAAAUCACUCUAUGACGCCAGCUAGAAUUGAUACAGAAACAACAUCACUACCAAAACCUACGGAUUUGCUAUCUCCUAUUCCAAAAGAAGAUGGAAAUUUUAGUUGUAUCUUUUUCUUCAUAAAAAUCUGCAUAAACAUAUUUAUUUAAUAUUUUCUAUUAGCUUUUAUUGCCCUUACCUCGGGCAUCAUUUUUGGCUUUUUAUGGAUUAUAGCCAUGACUGCAUUAAUAUGGAAAUGUAGGCAAAUAUAUGCAGAAAAGCAGGACAUCGGAUCAAAUACUCCAAAAAGACAAGUUCAAAGACGAAAUGCUGAAAAUAAUCAUAGCAAUGAAACGGAAUCAACUAUAACAGGACCAAAUUCGUCUAUGGGAUCUCAAAUAUGUCUAUCAGAGCCUGUACUUCAGACGCUUCCACCCUUCGAAGUAAUCGAUUCACACUCUAAUAGAAAUUCCAGUAAUAUUGAAGUAUUACCAAUUCGGGAAAAUAAUUUACCUGAGGCCCCCAGUUCACAUACAGAUACUCCUCCACCAAUUCCACCAAAGAUGGAUUUGGACAGUGAAGUUGAAUAUAUAAAUGACUGUACAAAUUUAGACAAUGGUGAACAACUUGGAAACUCUUCUUCAGAUAAUUUAUCCCCUCCAACUCUUCCCUUUCGCAUUCGAUCUCUUACGCCACCGCCUCUUCCAGUUCGAAUACAAAGUACUCCUGCAGAAUUUGGCAACCGACCUCCUCAUGAUGGUCGAUACGAAAACACGAACGAUUUUAGAGUAUUUAAAACGCGAACAGCUAAUCAGUUCUUACAUUCUCCCCAGAUAGUCUCUACUCAAUACUUUAGGAGCAAUGAGGAAGCGAAUCUAGAUCCAACUGCCAAACCCCUCAAUCAUGAAUUCUUUCAACCAUCAACACGAAAUGCUAGAAGUAGAAUUACUAAGUCAGUAAGGUAUCAGGCAGGGACCAAAGUGAGAAGUAGCAGUGCCGAUGCACCAGGGAGAAUUAAUCCCUUUUAUUUGCAAAAGACUCCCAUUGAAAUUAGUCCAAUGCCCAGACUUGGAACCUAUCAACCGCAGAUAUUAUCUACUGGUGGAUUAUUACCCAUUGUGGGAAAUAAUUUGACUGUGCACGUGCCAGUUUACUAUAAACCGAUUCCUGCAUUAAAUCAAUAAUAACAAGAACCUAAGGUACUAUAUUCUGUAUUCAUUUAAGCGUUCAACUUUUGCUAAUUCGUCAUUAUAAGAGAAUUCCAAGAAAAAAAUUCAAUUACAGCCUAAUUUAGAAAAUGCAAAUGAUACAAUUUGUUAUUUUCUCUCCUUUUUUUCAAUUUCCGUUUCAUAAAUGGAGAACUGCUAAAAAGAAAUUUUUUUUCCCAUUUCCGAGUAAAAUACGAAGAUACUCGUAGUAUUAUUCUUCUAUCAUCGUCAACUUGAGAUAAUUUCCCCUAAUUGACUAUAAAUAAAUGAAUGAAUGAAAGAGUAUUAAAAAAAUGCUGUAGUAGAAAAAGAAGGAUAAGAAUAUAGAAACAAACGAAAGAUAUAAAUUUAUAUAUAAAGCGUAUACAGUAUAUAUAAAUAUUAUAUUAACAAUAAAAAUAACUUGACCGAAUCCUAUUCAAACCAAUUCUUAAAGGUAAUAAAAUUU
RNAcentral lists this unclassified non-coding RNA (1932 nucleotides) under Dimorphilus gyrociliatus. RNAcentral describes it as "dgyrCDS12466". The record is from RNAcentral. Lineage: Eukaryota; Metazoa; Annelida; Polychaeta; Dinophilidae.